This 60-nucleotide microRNA precursor is filed under the name Pristionchus pacificus. Its description in RNAcentral is "microRNA ppc-mir-2235a precursor (ppc-mir-2235a-11)". It matches the Rfam family "mir-2235 microRNA precursor family", at positions 17 to 75 of the family's 87-position model. Lineage: Eukaryota; Metazoa; Nematoda; Chromadorea; Rhabditida; Neodiplogasteridae. The record is from miRBase by way of RNAcentral.
UCAUUCAAUAUUGCCGGUUUGAACGAAAUUGAUCAGUUCACCGGGAGUUAUUGCUUGAUC